CGAGCCCGUCGGACGACCGCGGAUCCGCUUCGGCGGAGUCGAGGAAAGUCCGGACUCCACAGGGCGCGGUGCUGGGUAACACCCAGGCGGGGCAACCCGACGGAAAGUGCAGCAGAAAACACACCGCCGAUGGUCUAACGACACAGGCAAGGGUGAAAAGGUGGUGUAAGAGACCACCAGUGGCCCGGGUGACCGGGCCAGCUUGUAAACCCCACCGGGAGCAAGGCCAAGCAGGGAUCGACUGCCCGUCGUAUAUCCCGGGUAGGCCGCUCGAGACAGUUUGGCAACAAGCUGUCCAGAUGGAUGGUCGUCGCGUGCCGCCCACCGGCGGCAGGUACAGAAUCCGGCUUACAGAUGGGCUCGCCGG
Molecule: RNase P RNA, 367 nt
Filed under: Actinomycetes bacterium
Lineage: Bacteria; Bacillati; Actinomycetota; Actinomycetes
Description: Actinobacteria bacterium RNase P RNA component class A
Rfam family: Bacterial RNase P class A
About the family: Ribonuclease P (RNase P) is a ubiquitous endoribonuclease, found in archaea, bacteria and eukarya as well as chloroplasts and mitochondria.
Source: RNAcentral